Long non-coding RNA from Vicia villosa (hairy vetch), 338 nucleotides. RefSeq lists it as uncharacterized. The record is from RefSeq and is a predicted model, not a curated record. NCBI's taxonomy places the organism in Eukaryota, Viridiplantae, Streptophyta, Magnoliopsida, Fabales, Fabaceae. The transcript has 2 exons.
AUAUCAAACAAUCAAAUUCUGUUGGAAAAUGUUGUUCAUCAUAACCGAAGACUCCCGUAAGGUGUCAGAUGCACAAACACAAGAUCCCAAGAGUAAAGCUUGCUUAUUAAGAUGUUUUUUUGACAUACACGUCGUUUGAAGAUUUUGCAUAUUCAUCCAUAUCGAUUGGAAGAGAAUUUAUUUACUUAGAAGAGGAGUUAGUUAAUAUCGAGUUAGUUAGUCUUUUGUUUAGUUAGGAAGUUUGUUAAGAAUUGCUAAUAAAGCAUAUUUUCUCAUUUGUAUAUAACAAUUUCAAUUCUUAAUGUUAAUUAAUAAAUUAUUAAGAGUUCAUUUCAUGA